GACGAACGCUGGCGGCGUGCUUAACACAUGCAAGUCGAACGGAAAGGCCCUGCUUUUGUGGGGUGCUCGAGUGGCGAACGGGUGAGUAACACGUGAGUAACCUGCCCUUGACUUUGGGAUAACUUCAGGAAACUGGGGCUAAUACCGGAUAGGAGCUCCUGCUGCAUGGUGGGGGUUGGAAAGUUUCGGCGGUUGGGGAUGGACUCGCGGCUUAUCAGCUUGUUGGUGGGGUAGUGGCUUACCAAGGCUUUGACGGGUAGCCGGCCUGAGAGGGUGACCGGACACAUUGGGACUGAGAUGCGGCCCAGACUCCUACGGGAGGCAGCAGUGGAGAAUAUUGCACAAUGGGCGGAAGCCUGAUGCAGCAACGCCGCGUGCGGGAUAACGGGCUUCGGGUUGUAAACCGCUUUCGCCUGUGACGAAGCGUGAGUGACGGUAAUGGGUAAAGAAGCACCGGCUAACUACGUG
This 468-nucleotide ribosomal RNA is filed under the name uncultured bacterium. RNAcentral's name for it is "partial 16S ribosomal RNA". It matches the Rfam family "Bacterial small subunit ribosomal RNA", at positions 28 to 507 of the family's 1533-position model. The record is from RNAcentral.